AAAAAAAGCUAUGCUUUCUUCAAUUGUACUGAUGAAGGUGUGAUUUGUAUGGUGCUGUUUGCGUUUGCUUCUUUCUACAUUUGGUUUGAUUACUUUACAUUUGGUGAAUGUGUGAUUUGUAUGGUGCUGUUUGCGUUUGCUUCUUUCUACAUUUGGUUUGAUUACUUUACAUUUGGUGAAUGUGUUAUUUGUAUGUAUUUAUGUUUGCAUUUUCUUCAAUUGUACUGGUGAAAGUGUGAUUUGUAUGGUGUUGUAUGCAUUUGCAAGUCUUUACGUAUGUAUUUUCUGUAUCAGGAUGUAAUGAACAUAUUCAUAUAGGACCUGUCUUUUUUUUUUAUAUAUACAUCUAUUUGUUUCUCAACCACCUCUUAGGUCAAAGAGUACAUACUGUACACCAAAGAGCCCUACAACUAUGAUCCACAUGUUGCUUCUGAUUGAAUAAGGAUGGCGUCAGCAAAAGCACCGAUCACUUUGUGUGUUUCUUCAAUUGUAUUGGUGAAGGUGUGACUCUAAGGUGUUGUUUGCAUUUGGAAUUGAACUGGGUGUCGAUUUGUCAGAGAAACAAGUCAAUUUAUAGAAGUGUAUUUCAAAAGACCAAGUGAUGGAGGAUCUUCAGUUACAAAUCAGGAUGUUAUACAGUUGAGAAAUAUUGCAAUGUUGCAGCUUCAUGUGAUCUAAUUUGCACUUGUCAUGUCUUCAGAUGUGCAUACCCCAACCAUCUCCGAUUCGCAAGCAAGCGAAACUUUAGAGUUACAAAGGAGGCCUGCAGCUAUUCAGCCUUGGUGGUGGUGGUGGUAAUGGUGGUGAUGAAGACAAGUUCUCAAGUAGAAACUUAAGCACUUUUGACAACAUUAUUAUUCUUUCUCUUCGAGAUUGAUCCUGCAUUGAUUCAGCGUGGCUUUUGAAAAGCAAUUCUACCAUUUUCAUUUGAUCUUAACUAUGGAAAAGGGAUCGUGGUUAUCAUAAUCAUGUGCUCACUUGAAUUAAGUAAUGUCGACCUGGGGUUUAUCCCGUCAUGCGUCUAUGGUCUGUGUACCUGCAUGAAUCUUCCUUCAUAUCCAUGGGAUCGGUACUAGGAAGACCG
Long non-coding RNA from Zingiber officinale, 1084 nucleotides. RefSeq lists it as uncharacterized. NCBI's taxonomy places the organism in Eukaryota, Viridiplantae, Streptophyta, Magnoliopsida, Zingiberales, Zingiberaceae. The transcript is spliced from 4 exons. The record is from RefSeq and is a predicted model, not a curated record.